RNAcentral lists this long non-coding RNA (757 nucleotides) under Sinocyclocheilus grahami. RNAcentral describes it as "lncRNA (ENSSGRG00000019079.1)". Lineage: Eukaryota; Metazoa; Chordata; Actinopteri; Cypriniformes; Cyprinidae. The record is from RNAcentral.
ACGUCAGUCACGAACAGGACGCAGUUUCCGGUGCGCCAUUUUAAGCUGUCUGGCGCAAGUUCCACUGGGAAGAUGGCGGGUGAAACUGGUUGAUUUUUUGCGGUUUGCCAAAUUUGAGUUUUAUGCCGAUAUCCGAAAGCCGUCGCUGCUGUUAAUUGUGCUAAAAGCUCGGCGGUGUGUUGAAGCGCCGCGGGCGAGGAGGCGAUGUCUGCCGAAGUUCUCAGACCUGGGCCGGUGGCCGGUGGAGGCAGUAAGCUAGGAGAGCUGAUCGGGAAGCUCCAUGAGUAUUUGGCAGCAGCCACGGAAGACAAGACUGAAGCUACUUUACCUGGACACUGGAAUGGUGAGUACAGCGUGGAAGAGAAAUUAGUCUCAGUCACAUCAGAAACUGAACCAAAAAUAAACUCAUUAAUUGAGCAGUUAUAGUGAAAUUUGUGAUUUCUCAUUUACAGGAACCACGGCCAAAGAAUACUUGGAGCAGCAGGCUUGUGCCCAGGUAGAGAUUGUUUAGAGUGUGGCAGAAAUGACAUUUUUGUUGUCCAACCCAGAAGUUGGCAUCACCCUGGUUCCUUUGACCAAAAGCCAAUAGGAUGUUUCCACUGGGUUCUGAAUAACUGCAGAAAAUAAGCUUUGUGACAAACAAAACCUUUUGCUCAUCAAGAUAAUCUUCACAAAUGAACAACUUUUAUGAAUUUUGAAGCCUAAAUGUAAAUGGCAGAAGUAAAAAUAACUAAAAACUAAAACAAUUUAUAGGCAC